Molecule: non-coding RNA, 1744 nt
Organism: Struthio camelus australis
Lineage: Eukaryota; Metazoa; Chordata; Aves; Struthioniformes; Struthionidae
Source: RefSeq, a predicted model, not a curated record
ACAAUGUGGCAAAGCUGAGGCUUGAUACAGCUCUCCAAAGACAAUGCUGGCACCAGACUGGUGAUGUCUUAAAGAAGUUCAUGCUGGCUGUCUGGCAAGAUGCAGCUGUGGUUGACUCAGGUCUGCACCUUCCUUCAAAUAGCAGAUGAUAUCUCUUUUUUUAAGAGUGGCUCUGCAGAGUUGAAAGUAACCACUUGAGUGAGAGCCUACGUCUUGCCUCUUCUGUGGCAUGUUCAUUUCACAAGCUUUUCUGCCUCUUGUUUACAAAGCCACCAAAAGGGACUUGCAGGCUGACUACACUGAAUUGUCAUUGCUGUGGAGUAAAAAAACUGCCUCAAGACUUGUGAGAUGCAGAUGGAGCGUUAAACAGUGAAGGGAAACUAAAGGGAUAAAAUGAGAAAAUGGAAGGCGUUCUGAUUUUGUAUUGUACCUGGCUGUGGCUGAAGACUUUCUUCUUGUCUGAGGAAUGUGACCAGAUACGAGCAGAUUGUUUCUCCAGGAAUGGUGACAAUACUUGCUGGUUGCUCAGUGAGAAUGGGGAACUGUGCAUGGCAAGAGCUGCCAUGUCCCCAGCCAGUUCAGCAAUCUCUGCUCCAAGAAAACAAGCUCCUGCUCCCAACCACUUCAUAGAGAAGCCAGUGCAUACAACCUAUGGAGAACUACAGUCCAGCCCAGUAAGGAAAUGAACUGAAAAACAUGGAGUCCUUUCUCUGUAGAAAGGUGUUAAGAGAAUUGACCUUAAUCUCAGUGCUGAUGCAUCCCCAAAAGUGUGACCAGCUCCUGCUCUUGCCCCUUUGUGUUGGGUAAGUCUGUUGAGAACAGAACAAGACUUUGCCCUGCAGACCACUCUGUGGUCCGAAGGAUCAGGUGCUGAAGACAUGAGCUCCAAACGGUGCUCUCCCGCUUUCUUGAGCAAGAGCCUUCAGACUUUGUGUUGCCCUUUAUUAGGAUGCUGCUUCCAGACACUACUCCCUCCUCCCAAUUUUUAAAGUAUUUCCAUUAAACUAAAAACAAGUCAAUUUUAGAGAACCUAAAGGCACGAUUAGAACAUGCAAAUAUGAAUUCAGUAUUUAUAGGCAUUGCUGUGGUGCUCUCCCUGUAGUAUCCAAGCAUGUUUUACCAGCGUUAGUGAACUUGAUCCUUACAGCACCUCUCUGAGUUUGGAGAGCCUGCUAUCCCUGUAUUAUUACUUUACAAAUGAUACAGUCCUCGACUUAAUACAGCUUUGACCAAGUUGUGUGAAGCCUCUGUAUAGAAACUGCGUGUUCUUCAAGAUAGUUUGUGAGGCACUUCUAUACAAUCUGUUUCACCUCUAUGAUUUCCUGCAGUGAAAUUAGCUGGUUCUUGGCUUCUGCUCUGCUGUUUACGCUUUCCUCAACCUUUACCGUUUGUUUCUAGAGUGACACUGUGGCUGGCCCUGCUCGAGUAUGCCAAGAUGGAGAGAGUAAGAUGCACAAAACUUGCUUCUUUCUCCAUUGCAAAAGGUGUGGCAGAGUUUGCUGUCCUUUGUUUUCCUAUCACUAUAAAGUCUGGUUUUAUCUAGUGGCAGUAAUGCUGCCUGAUAACCUUUAAAGGUUAGUGGACCUUUCACUAAAGACAAUAAACAGAGUUAUUCUCUCUGCCAACUGGUACGGUCCUGGCAGGAUAACGCACACUGUCAGUGCUUGCAAAAGACAUUUUAACUCAGUCAUUUGUUGCCCACCCCCCCCAACAGGUAUGCGCGUGCACGUGUGCACACGCACAC